RNAcentral lists this transfer RNA (64 nucleotides) under Monodelphis domestica (gray short-tailed opossum). It matches the Rfam family "tRNA", at positions 5 to 66 of the family's 71-position model. Rfam says of the family: Transfer RNA (tRNA) molecules are approximately 80 nucleotides in length. Their secondary structure includes four short double-helical elements and three loops (D, anti-codon, and T loops). Further hydrogen bonds mediate the characteristic L-shaped molecular structure. tRNAs have two regions of fundamental functional importance: the anti-codon, which is responsible for specific mRNA codon recognition, and the 3' end, to which the tRNAs corresponding amino acid is attached (by aminoacyl-tRNA synthetases). tRNAs cope with the degeneracy of the genetic code in two manners: having more than one tRNA (with a specific anti-codon) for a particular amino acid; and 'wobble' base-pairing, i.e. permitting non-standard base-pairing at the 3rd anti-codon position. Lineage: Eukaryota; Metazoa; Chordata; Mammalia; Didelphimorphia; Didelphidae. The record is from Rfam by way of RNAcentral.
AAGUGGCUCAGUGGAUAGAGCACUGGAUUUGGAAUCAGGAAGCUCUGAGUUCAAAUCUAGCCUU